RNAcentral lists this ribosomal RNA (497 nucleotides) under uncultured bacterium. RNAcentral describes it as "partial 16S ribosomal RNA". It matches the Rfam family "Bacterial small subunit ribosomal RNA", at positions 28 to 507 of the family's 1533-position model. The record is from RNAcentral.
GAUGAACGCUGGCGGCGUGCCUAAUACAUGCAAGUCGAGCGAACGGACGAGAAGCUUGCUUCUCUGAUGUUAGCGGCGGACGGGUGAGUAACACGUGGAUAACCUACCUAUAAGUCUGGGAUAACUUCGGGAAACCGGAGCUAAUACCGGAUAAUAUUUUGAACCGCACGGUUCAAAAGUGAAAGACGGUCUUGCUGUCACUUAUAGAUGGAUCCGCGCUGCAUUAGCUAGUUGGUAAGGUAACGGCUUACCAAGGCAACGAUGCAUAGCCGACCUGAGAGGGUGAUCGGCCACACUGGAACUGAGACACGGUCCAGACUCCUACGGGAGGCAGCAGUAGGGAAUCUUCCGCAAUGGGCGAAAGCCUGACGGAGCAACGCCGCGUGAGUGAUGAAGGUCUUCGGAUCGUAAAACUCUGUUAUUAGGGAAGAACAUAUGUGUAAGUAACUGUGCACAUCUUGACGGUACCUAAUCAGAAAGCCACGGCUAACUACGUG